GGCUAACCUGCCCUUGGGCCGGAGACAACCCCGGGAAACUGGGGCUAAUCCCCGAUAGGUGAAGAACUCUGGAAUGAGUCUUUGCCCAAAAGGCGUCAGAUCAUGCUUCUGGCGUCGCCCAAGGAUGGGGCCGCGGCCGAUCAGGCUGUUGGUGAGGUAAUGGCCCACCAAACCUAUAACCGGUGCGGGCCGUGAGAGCGGGAGCCCGGAGAUGGGCACUGAGACAAGGGCCCAGGUCCUACGGGGCGCAGCAGUCGCGAAACCUUUGCAAUACACGAAAGUGUGACAGGGUCAUCCCGAGUGCCGACCGCUGAGGUUGGCUUUUACCCAGUCUAGAAAGCUGGGGGAAUAAGGAGAGGGCAAGUCUGGUGCCA
This 374-nucleotide ribosomal RNA is filed under the name uncultured archaeon. RNAcentral describes it as "bacterial SSU rRNA". It matches the Rfam family "Archaeal small subunit ribosomal RNA", at positions 102 to 460 of the family's 1478-position model. The record is from RNAcentral.